AUUGAACGCUGGCGGCAUGCCUUACACAUGCAAGUCGAACGGCAGCAUGGAGAGCUUGCUCUCUGAUGGCGAGUGGCGAACGGGUGAGUAAUGCAUCGGAACGUACCGUGUAAUGGGGGAUAACGUAGCGAAAGUUACGCUAAUACCGCAUACGACCUGAGGGUGAAAGCAGGGGAUCGCAAGACCUUGCGUUAUACGAGCGGCCGAUGUCAGAUUAGCUAGUUGGUGAGGUAAAGGCUCACCAAGGCGAGGAUCUGUAGCGGGGCUGAGAGGAUGAUCCGCAACACUGGGACUGAGACACGGCCCAGACUCCUACGGGAGGCAGCAGUGGGGAAUUCUGGACAAUGGGGGCAACCCUGAUCCAGCCAUGCCGCGUGAGUGAAGAAGGCCUUCGGGUUGUAAAGCUCUUUCGGCCGGGAAGAAAUCGCACAGGCUAAUACUCUGUGUGGAUGACGGUACCGGCAUAAGAAGCACCGGCUAACUACGUGCCAGCAGCCGCGGUAA
Molecule: ribosomal RNA, 504 nt
Filed under: uncultured bacterium
Lineage: Bacteria
Description: partial 16S ribosomal RNA
Rfam family: Bacterial small subunit ribosomal RNA
Source: RNAcentral